RNAcentral lists this ribosomal RNA (482 nucleotides) under uncultured bacterium. RNAcentral's name for it is "bacterial SSU rRNA". It matches the Rfam family "Bacterial small subunit ribosomal RNA", at positions 501 to 985 of the family's 1533-position model. The record is from RNAcentral.
CUACGUGCCAGCAGCCGCGGGUAAUACGGAAGGUCCAGGCGUUAUCCGGAUUUAUUGGGUUUAAAGGGAGCGUAGGCUGGAGAUUAAGUGUGUUGUGAAAUGUAGACGCUCAACGUCUGAAUUGCAGCGCAUACUGGUUUCCUUGAGUACGCACAACGUUGGCGGAAUUCGUCGUGUAGCGGUGAAAUGCUUAGAUAUGACGAAGAACUCCGAUUGCGAAGGCAGCUGACGGGAGCGCAACUGACGCUUAAGCUCGAAGGUGCGGGUAUCAAACAGGAUUAGAUACCCUGGUAGUCCGCACAGUAAACGAUGGAUGCCCGCUGUUGGUACCUGGUAUCAGCGGCUAAGCGAAAGCAUUAAGCAUCCCACCUGGGGAGUACGCCGGCAACGGUGAAACUCAAAGGAAUUGACGGGGGCCCGCACAAGCGGAGGAACAUGUGGUUUAAUUCGAUGAUACGCGAGGAACCUUACCCGGGCUUGAA